Molecule: ribosomal RNA, 578 nt
Filed under: uncultured fungus
Lineage: Eukaryota; Fungi
Description: eukaryotic LSU rRNA
Rfam family: 5.8S ribosomal RNA (bases 210-363)
Source: RNAcentral
CUUGGUCAUUUAGAGGAAGUAAAAGUCGUAACAAGGUUUCCGUAGGUGAACCUGCGGAAGGAUCAUUAUCGUGGGGCUUCGGCCCUCUCGAGAUAGAACCCUUGCCUUUUUGAGUACCUUCGUUUCCUCGGCAGGCUCGCCUGCCAAUGGGGACCCCAAUAAACCCUUUGUAAUACCUGUAAUCGUCUGACAAAACAAACAAAAAUUAAAACUUUCAACAACGGAUCUCUUGGUUCUGGCAUCGAUGAAGAACGCAGCGAAAUGCGAUAAGUAGUGUGAAUUGCAGAAUUCAGUGAAUCAUCGAAUCUUUGAACGCACAUUGCGCCCUAUGGUAUUCCGUAGGGCAUGCCUGUUCGAGCGUCAUUCAAACCUCCAAGCUCUGCUUGGUGUUGGGCGUCUGUCCUGCCUCACGGCGCGGACUCGCCUCAAAUCUAUUGGCGGCCGGCACGUUGGCUUCGAGCGCAGCAGAAACGCGAACUCGAGACCGGCGGAUCGGCUCCCAGAAGCUACCCCCAUGAAUUUGACCUCGGAUCAGGUAGGGAUACCCGCUGAACUUAAGCAUAUCAAUAAGCGGAGGA